UGCGUAGGCGGGCUAAUAAGUCAGUGGUGAAAUCUCUCGGCUCAACCGGGAGGCACCAUCCGAUACUGUUGAGCUCGAGGGCAGCAGAGGGAGGUAGAAUUCCCGGUGUAGUGGUGGAAUGCGUAGAUAUCGGGAGGAAUACCAGUGGCGAAAGCGGCCUCCUGGGCUGUUUCUGACGCUGAUGCCCGAAAGCGUGGGGAGCAAACAGGAUUAGAUACCCUGGUAGUCC
Molecule: ribosomal RNA, 229 nt
Filed under: uncultured bacterium
Lineage: Bacteria
Description: partial 16S ribosomal RNA
Rfam family: Bacterial small subunit ribosomal RNA
Source: RNAcentral